AUUGAACGCUGGCGGAAUGCUUUACACAUGCAAGUCGAACGGCAGCACGGACUUCGGUCUGGUGGCGAGUGGCGAACGGGUGAGUAAUGUAUGGGAACGUGCCCAGUCGUGGGGGAUAACGUAGUGAAAAUUACGCUAAUACCGCAUACGAUCUAUGGAUGAGAGCGGGGGAUCGCAAGACCUCGCGCGAUUGGAGCGGCCGAUAGCAGAUUAGGUAGUUGGUGGGGCAGAGGCCCACCAAGCCAACGGCCUGUAGCUGGUCUGAGAGGACGACCAGCCACACUGGAACUGAGACACGGUCCAGACUCCUACGGGAGGCAGCAGUGGGGAAUAGUGGACAAUGGGGGGAACCCUGAUCCAGCCAUGCCGCGUGUGUGAAGAAGGCCUUAUGGUUGUAAAGCACUUUAAGCGAGGAGGAGGCUCUUUUGGUUAAUACCCAAGAUGAGUGGACGUUACUCGCAGAAUAAGCACCGGCUAACUCUGUGCCAGCCGCCGCGGUAA
RNAcentral lists this ribosomal RNA (501 nucleotides) under uncultured bacterium. RNAcentral describes it as "partial 16S ribosomal RNA". It matches the Rfam family "Bacterial small subunit ribosomal RNA", at positions 30 to 523 of the family's 1533-position model. The record is from RNAcentral.